AGGGUUUACAGCAAGGCUGGGGGGUUAGGGGAAAGAUAAAGUGGAUAACCAUAUGACAUGAGAGUAUGCUUUUUUUUUUUAAUUUUCUUUUGCCAACAAAUCACAUUAGCUUCUACUUUUCUUUUCUUCUUUUUUUUUGGGGGAGGGGGGGGGAAUGCUUAUCCAUAUACUAGAUUUCAGGGGUCACCAUCAGGCCAAUUCGCAUGUUAUAUUAGGCAAGGCUGGGAGAGUGAGAAAGCUUGUAAAAUGGAUGAGUGAUCCAAGUCCCCAUCCCUCCAUCCUCAUUGGCUACACCAUGAGACAAUGUGUAAUUUAAUGAAUUCGUUAAAGAUAUGCUCCUGUUGUGUUGG
This 350-nucleotide long non-coding RNA is filed under the name Gossypium raimondii (Peruvian cotton). Its description in RNAcentral is "long non-coding RNA (GRAI_LNC000318)". Lineage: Eukaryota; Viridiplantae; Streptophyta; Magnoliopsida; Malvales; Malvaceae. The record is from RNAcentral.